AAAAUAAAUUUCCAACGUCUAACACACAUCGUUUACGGCAUGGACUACGAGGGUAUCUAAUCCUCUUCGCUACCCAUGCUUUCGUUCCUCAGUGUCAGUAAUGAUCCAGAAAGCUGCCUUCGCAGUUGGUAUUCUUUCUAAUAUCUACGAAUUUCACCUCUACACUAGAAAUUCUGCUUUCCUCUAUCAUACUCUAGCUGAAAAGUUUUGAUGGCAGUUCCAGAGUUAAGCUCUGGGAUUUCACCACCAACUUUUUCAACCACCUACGAACUCUUUAAGCCCAGUAAUUCCGAACUACGCUAGGUCCCUUCGUAUUACCGCGGCUGCUGGCACGAAGUUAGCCGGACCUUCUUAUUCGGGUACAGUCAUUUUCUUCCCCGACGAAAGAGCUUUACAACCCAAAGGCCUUCUUCACUCACGCGGCACCGCUGCAUCAGAGUUUCCUCCAUUGUGCAAGAUUCCCCACUGCUGCCUCCCGUAGGAGUUUGGGCCGUGUCUCAGUCCCAAUGUGGCUGAUCAUCCUCUCAAAUCAGCUAUUGAUCAUAGUCUUGGUAGGCCAUUACCCUACCAACAAACUAAUCAAGUGCGGGCUCAUCCAAUGGUGCAUAAAGCUUUCUCCGUAAAGACUUAUCCGGUAUUAGCACAAGUUUCCUCGUGUUAUUCCAGGCCAAAGGGUAGAUACCCACAUGUUACUCACCCGUCUGCCACUAAGUAUUGCUACUUCGUUCGACUUGCAUGUGUUAGGCGUGCCGCCAGCGUACGUUCUGAGCCAGGAUCAAACUCU
This 784-nucleotide ribosomal RNA is filed under the name uncultured bacterium. RNAcentral describes it as "partial 16S ribosomal RNA". The record is from RNAcentral.